CGCCUGUUUAUCAAAAACAUCUUUUCUUGUUAGUUUUUGAAGUAUGGCCUGCCCGCUGAUUUUAGGUUGAAGGGCCGCGGUAUUUUGACCGUGCAAAGGUAGCAUAAUCAUUAGUUCUUUAAUUGUGAUCUGGUAUGAAUGGCUUGACGAGGCAUGGGCUGUCUUAGAUUGGGAUUGUUUAUUGAAUUUGGUUUUUGAGUUAGAAUUCUUAAAUGUUUUUAUGGGACGAGAAGACCCUAUAGAGUUUAACAUUUGUUUAUAUAGCUUGUUUUGGUUUGUUUUAGUAGUUGCUUUGUUUUAAUGUUUUGUUGGGGUGAUGGGAAGAAUUUUCUUAACUCUUCUUUGUUUUGGUAUAUUGAUUUAUAUUGGUUUGAUCCAUUUAUUUUGAUUAUAAGAUUAAAUUACCUUAGGGAUAACAGCGUAAA
Molecule: ribosomal RNA, 425 nt
Filed under: Macrotermes gilvus
Lineage: Eukaryota; Metazoa; Arthropoda; Insecta; Blattodea; Termitidae
Description: partial 16S ribosomal RNA
Rfam family: Bacterial large subunit ribosomal RNA (bases 1-174)
Source: RNAcentral